CCUACGGGUGGCAGCAGUGAGGAAUAUUGGUCAAUGGGCGCGAGCCUGAACCAGCCAAGUCGCGUGAGGGAAGAAGGUCCAAUGGAUUGUAAACCUCUUUUGUCGGGGAGCAAAAGACGCCACGCGUGGCGUGCCGAGAGUACCCGAAGAAAAAGCAUCGGCUAACUCCGUGCCAGCAGCCGCGGUAAUACGGAGGAUGCAAGCGUUAUCCGGAUUUACUGGGUGUAACGGGAGCGCAGACGGCCGCGCAAGUCUGGCGUGAAAUCCCAUGGCUUAACCCUGGAACCGCUUUGGAAACUGUGCCUCUAGAUUGCAGGAGAGGUAAGCGGAAUUCCUUGUGUAGCGGU
Molecule: ribosomal RNA, 347 nt
Filed under: uncultured bacterium
Lineage: Bacteria
Description: partial 16S ribosomal RNA
Rfam family: Bacterial small subunit ribosomal RNA
Source: RNAcentral